UACGUAGGGUGCAAGCGUUGUCCGGAAUUAUUGGGCGUAAAGAGCUCGUAGGCGGCCUGUCACGUCGACUGUGAAAACCCGAGGCUCAACCUCGGGCCUGCAGUCGAUACGGGCAGGCUAGAGUUCGGUAGGGGAGACUGGAAUUCCUGGUGUAGCGGUGAAAUGCGCAGAUAUCAGGAGGAACACCGGUGGCGAAGGCGAGUCUCUGGACAUUUCCUGACGCUGAGGCACGAAAGCUAGGGGAGCAAACAGG
This 253-nucleotide ribosomal RNA is filed under the name uncultured bacterium. RNAcentral's name for it is "partial 16S ribosomal RNA". It matches the Rfam family "Bacterial small subunit ribosomal RNA", at positions 524 to 776 of the family's 1533-position model. The record is from RNAcentral.